RNAcentral lists this ribosomal RNA (467 nucleotides) under uncultured bacterium. RNAcentral describes it as "bacterial SSU rRNA". It matches the Rfam family "Bacterial small subunit ribosomal RNA", at positions 328 to 792 of the family's 1533-position model. The record is from RNAcentral.
UCGCCAGACUCCUACGGGAGGCAGCAGUGAGGAAUAUUGGUCAAUGGCCGAGAGGCUGAACCAGCCAAGUCGCGUGAGGGAAGACGGCCCUACGGGUUGUAAACCUCUUUUGUCGGGGAGCAAAGCGAACCACGUGUGGUUCAUUGAGAGUACCCGAAGAAAAAGCAUCGGCUAACUCCGUGCCAGCAGCCGCGGUAAUACGGAGGAUGCGAGCGUUAUCCGGAUUUAUUGGGUUUAAAGGGCGCGUAGGUGGACGCUUAAGUCAGGUGUGAAAACUCCGGGCUCAACCUGGAGACUGCACUUGAAACUGGGUGUCUUGAGGGCAGGAGAGGAAAGUGGAAUUCCUAGUGUAGCGGUGAAAUGCGUAGAUAUUAGGAGGAACACCAGUGGCGAAGACGACUUUCUGGACUGUACCUGACGCUGAGGCGCGAAAGCGUGGGUAGCGAACGGGAUUAGAUACCCCAGUA